CCGGUGACCAAGCGCCGCCCGCCACCGCCCAGAUCCACCCCGCGCGCGCGCGCCCCCGCACUUCCGCAACACCCACCUGUCGUCACUUCCUACCAUAUGAGAGCUAGGUUUGUCCGCCCCCAUCCAGCGGGUAGCUCAUUUCCGGCGAGAGUGCUAUUGAUUGGCGGCUAAAUCAGGGGCGUAAAUGUCAUAGAGAGCACACCCUGCGGCUAGAAAGUCUCUACCCGCUUUUGCUCCGAGGGGAAGUAGAGCUGAGAUUUAGUUUUCUCCCCGCCUAGCAGCCAUCUUGGAGCCGGAGUGGCGGAGUUUAGGCCGUUGUGUAGGUAGAAAGAGACCAGGAAAGCCCUCUGGCAACUGAGAGCCCCGCUUCUGGUCAUGCCACUGGAGGAGCUACAGGGAGGCGAGGAAAGGAGCAGUAAUAUGGAGCUAUAAAGCAGAGUCUCAAGGCUUUGCUUCGUUCCUUGAUCCACUGCAUUUACACUGGCAGCUGAUUGGCACUGUGUAUACAUGGUACACAAGUUACCUGUUUUCAACAGAAUAUUGCGCUUUGUACAUGUUCCUCUGUUUUUCGUAAAAAAUAGUGCCUCCCCCACAAGGAAAUACAUACACAUACAGCAAAGUGUAUGUUGAUAAACAGAUACAGUUCCCUAUCUGUUUAUCAUCAGGUUUUCAGUUCCUGGUGUGGUGACCAGUUGUAUAAGGGUGCCUUAUCCUUUGAUGCAUGAUAAUAAACUCAACACAGUACUAAAUAGAACCAAAAUGAAGCAUAAAUAUUAUUUGUGGGAAUCUCAAAAGUGAUACUGCUUCAAAGUAACCCAGGCUCUAUGAUAAACAUACAAUUUUUAAGAGCCAACUUCUUGUAUUUAUGGAUCUCUAUACAUAUACAGUGAACUUGUAGAGAAAGAUUUUUGUAUAAAACCAGAUUAAAUAAUCUUAGUUUAAAAUCCUGGACAUCAAGUGUACAAAGAUAUACUACUUACAGUUGCAUCUUGUAAACAGGACCACUUAAAUCAGUGAGCAUUCUCAUACCAAAUUGAUAUAUUUGUACAAUGAACUAUUGUGAAAAGCAUGUAAUAAUAGCCUCCAUUUAUGAAAUUCAAGUUCUAGGCAGGGUAUUUUUUUUAACCAGUUGGGAAUACAGAGUAGAACCCACCCCACCCAGAGAACUAUAUCAGGGAAUUAACUGAAACAAGGGCAUAUGAUUCAGAGCUCACAAAAAGCCUUAGCUAUUUCUUAAGUAUAAUGUGUGCAUUCUUCAGUGGUAAUACUACCUCUAACUUGUAUGAAAAUAAAGACAUUCACAUCACUACCAUACAUACCAUGUCAUACCUUUCAAGCCUAUUAUGUUAACAUAUCUACCAUAGUUACAUGCCUUAAGUAGAGCCAAUAUGAGGUCCUCACAACUGAGAAAUAUUUACCCAGUAUUUACUGUCAUGAGAUAUUUAUGGAGAUGAAUUAUCUAGGAGCAAGCAACAGCUGACAACAUCCAACAAGUAUCCAUGCUUAUUCAGCUGUAAUAUAAAGCUAUUACUUGAAACAGACAGUCUAGGAUCUUAAAUGGUAUCUUGCUAUACCUAGUUUUUUCAAACUGUGGUCUCCAUUUCAGCAUGAGGAAGCUGUGGUGCUAUGCAAAAAAUUAAAUUAUUUUGAAUCUUCAAAACAGAGGAUUUUCUUCUGUGUUACAAGCCACGUUAGGGCUGGUAUGUAGGACUUAAACCUUUGGGUAGCACUGGCAACCUGGCCUCAUGAAUGGUGUCAAGGGUCUCUUCUCUCCCCAAACACAAGGGACAAAACACACUUCACCACUGCCACACUAUUUUGAUAUAUAAGCCAUCGCCACAUCUUAUAACACCCAGAAAUAGCUUUAACCCCCGUAAAUCGGUAGUUGUGAUAACAGGCUAUACUGUAAUGAAUGCCACCAAACAGAUUUACUUUGAAAUAAGAAUUCAAUAGGGAACUGCAAGUUGAAAGACUAAAUCUUUACUUGGCAUGUUGGAGUCACUGAGUUUUCACAGCAACUGUUUUACAGUAAAAAUACUGAGGUGGGACCAGCACUGAACUUUGGAAUCAAGUGUUAAAUACAAAAACGACUUUAACAAGAAAUUCACUCCCUCUCCAUGACCACGAAGGGUGGAGCUAUUUCAAUGGAGAACCCCACCAUCACCACCACCUCCCUGCAAAAGCAGUCACACUGUUUGGCUUUAGCAUAGACAAAAGAGGAGAGUCAGCACACAGGAGAUGGGGAUGUACAGUUUACAAGCCCCUACUGGGGCAGAGUGGAGGAGAGAGACCUGAGAGAGCAGAAUCCCUCCCAUGGGAAGGGCAAUCAGCACCGACUCUUUCACUGUGGGAUGGCAGGCAGAUACCUGCUCCCCCACCCAUCUUAGCUCCUGCAGCCUCAAGGCUAAGCUCCAGCUGCAACAGGAAGCAGACAUUUACAGCUCUAGACACAUUUCUAUUUUAUUACUGCCAAGGUGAAAAAGCCACCUUGGCCCAACAAGCAACCAGUAAAAUUUUUCCCAAAAAUAACUCAGUACAAAACAGAUCUGUUUCAGAAUUAAAAAAAAAAGAAAAAGAAAGAAA
Molecule: long non-coding RNA, 2583 nt
Organism: Hemicordylus capensis (graceful crag lizard)
Lineage: Eukaryota; Metazoa; Chordata; Lepidosauria; Squamata; Cordylidae
Exons: 2
Source: RefSeq, a predicted model, not a curated record